CAGCAGCCACGGUAAUGCGAAGGGGGCUAGCGUUGCUCGGAAUUACUGGGCGUAAAGGGCGCGUAGGCGGACAGUUCAGUCGGGGGUGAAAGCCCGGGGCUCAACCUCGGAAUUGCCUUCGAUACUGGCUGUCUUGAGUAUGAGAGAGGUGUGUGGAACUCCGAGUGUAGAGGUGAAAUUCGUAGAUAUUCGGAAGAACACCAGUGGCGAAGGCGACACACUGGCUCAUUACUGACGCUGAGGCGCGAAAGCGUGGGGAGCGAACAGGAUUAGAUACCCCCGUAGUCCCUGUCUCUUAUAA
Molecule: ribosomal RNA, 301 nt
Filed under: uncultured bacterium
Lineage: Bacteria
Description: partial 16S ribosomal RNA
Rfam family: Bacterial small subunit ribosomal RNA
Source: RNAcentral